AUUUUUUCCAUCCUUUCAAAAAUUUAAAAAAAAAAAAAAAAGGAGAAAUAUUUCCUCCAUCGAGGGAAAGAGAGGAUACCAAGGAAUAAAGCGAACCCGUUACCCGCAACAUUGUUCUUCCUCGAACUCCACCUCUAACCAGAAACUAGCUUCCCGAGGAAGGAAGGAAAGGAGUGUGGGCAUCGUGUGAAGAUACUGAAGAGGAGGAGUCCAAAGAAAGUGGCUUCCUCGGAAGCGGGCAGCAAGAAGGAACCGUACGGUAUUCCAAGACGAGUGAUCCCUAAGAAAAGGGGAGGCAUCGGCCGUGCAGCCGUCUCGGAUGCCCGUUUUGGUCAGCGGAGCUUCAUUCGCAUGCAACUUCGUCCGCGGCUCUUACUUGGAAGUACGUGUGACCACGUCGGCAACCGGUAACCGGGCAACGGCCACCGCGGUCCCCGCUUCUUUAUUCCUUUCUUGUGAGUGUCGACAAGGUUCAUUCAAUGGUUUCGGCCUGAAUCACGCGGACCAGCGUGGAGGAUCGCGCCACGGAGAGAAAAAGACGUUUCUCGUCCUUCCGAGUCGGGGGGGCAUCCCAUUUUCGAUCGUGUUAAAAAUGACUUCAUAUCGGGAGAAUGGACGAAUUAGUGGAAAUAACUUGGUAGUUUGGAUAAUGUUCCGGACAUGGAUGGAGAUUGGAGAGGAAAAUUAUUACUUGAGAGUGACUGGUUAAUUUAUACAAAUUUUCCAUGGACAAGCUUUAGACGUGUAGUUUUUUAAAGAUACGUAAGAAGAUUUAAUAAUGAAUAAAAUACAUUGGAAUAUUAGAAGAAAUAUUGAAAUAUAUUAUUAAUGUACAAAUUCAAUCUAUAAUUAAAUAAAGGAUCCAAUAAAAUGAAUCUGUCGUUAUGGAAAGAUACCUGAACAAAUUAAUAAAUCUCUCAUCGAACGAAAAAAAAUAAAGAAACGUACCAAUUAUAUAUAUAUCUUCCAUAUUAUCUUUAUUAAAUCUCUGUAAAAAUUCAAAUAAUUUGCAUCUCGUCGCCGUUUUCAUGGUGCGCCAUAUGCAUAACGCGUGGCACAUGCGCGCCCCUAAAAAUCCGGAGGGCCGUCGAAUCGAACACACUUUCUCCUUCCUUCCGCCGCCAUUCUCACGAUUGCUAUGCGAAUCGCCUCAAUUAAAUUCGCAUCAAAAUCCAUUCCACCGGCGCUGAUUCAUUACCCGCUCACGCUUUAAUUUCACUCGGCCACGCGGUAUGCGCCACAUAAUUUACCGCCUCGGCCUUUUAACCUGGCAGCGCCUUCGAGCGCCUUCAUUUUGUCUCUAACACCGAGACCAGCGCAACGAGAGGAGGCACUACGUGGGGCGCCCUAACCGAUCCGGAUUCACGAUAUCCCCAAAUUACCGAGACCCGUUAUGUCAUCCCAACUUUCCCUCUGCCGUUGUUUUUCUACCCGUCCACGCCUAUUUCUCAUGACAUUAUAGGCACGACCUUCCUGGAGAAAAAGAAGAAGGAGGAGGAGGAGGAAGAGAUGGAGAGAAAAUCAAUGUUUCUUUUAUCUUCCUUUCCUUUCUGAUAAAUAGGAGAAGAUAGCAGGAUGUAAAAUGGAAUGUAACGAAUAUAUUUCAUCGUCGAUGAAGAAAUCGAAGGAUAAUAAGAAAUAAAUUUAUUAUAAUCGAGUGAGAUUGGUUAUAGAUUCCUUUUUUUUUUAUUAUUUGUUUUCGCAAUUACAAGAAAUUAAAAUAUUGAUUUUCGAUUCGAGAUAAACGUAUUCAUACAUCUGCAUAUCUAAUAACUCUCAUAAUUAUUUUCUUAAUACUACAUUAAUUUUAUACGUUUAAAUAUAUAUUAUAUAUUGAUAGUUUUAAUGUAGUUGUUUUAAUGAGAAAACUUUUAAUUUUUUUCCAUUAUGAGAUUAUUUCUUCAAAGUGUUCAAGAAUUUAAUAUUUAACUUACGCUUCGAAAUAAUAAUUCCCCUAUAAUCAUAAAUCCGAUCCCAUUUCCUUCAACAACAGAAAUUCCUCUAACACCAAUUCCUUCUCCACCUCCUCCUUAAUCGAUCCGCGCAAAACCGAUCGAUUAAUUAUUCCGCAAACAGCCGCGGUAUCGAUAAUUAGUCGCGUUAAUAACUCGGCUCGAUCACGCGUGGGCAAACACGCGUGCUCGCCAAGCCGGUGAAUGUCGCUGUAACGGGUGUUCUAAAUGUCAGCCACGUUCCACGACGAAAUUACGCGGCUGAGAUUUUUUUCUAACUUUCAAAACCGUUCGACGCCUGCACACGGCCGACUUUAAGGUCAUCCCAGUAAUUAUACGCCGGCCACCGCGUGGCUCGUUCGAUUGGACGAUCGAACGUUUGCUCCCUGUGAAGCUUGGAAAGAGAGAGAGACUAUAUAUGUGUGUGUAAGAAUGAGAGAGCGAGAAGGAUCUAAUUGUGCAACGCGAUCGAACGGCGGAUACCGUCGCUUCAGCUGUCACGGUUUUACCAGCGACGAUGAAGAAUUUCGUGCCACGAUUGCGUGAUAGUGGCGGUAUAAAUCAGUGAUACAAUGAACUAUCAGGGCGACACCGAGCCAACACCAGCUGUUUCGAGUGUACGGUUGAGCCUGUGUGCUGAGAGGGGGAGGGGGGAGAGAAUCGACGUAUUUCGUAUACCGCAGGACCGAGGCUUUGCGCGAAAUUGGCCGCCGAUGAAGAGGGAUUUGUUAAGUGUUGCUUUUCGAUCUAUAUGGGCUUCGAUCAUACGAAGCGUGAAUUACACGGAGGAUCUGUUUCUGUGGAGUGGACGGAAAUCUACCAUCCAAGCCAAACAUCUUCCAAUUUUUGUGGCCAUGGUUUCGUAAAACAUCGGUAUAACAAUUCGUUAGACUUCUUUCCACCGUCUUGCUCGGCGGAUGCUAACCUCGCGGCGACAAACGAAAAAACCGAUCGCUGGAUUUUCGAUGCAGCGCGCUGCUAAUCAUUAAUUAGCCGUUUCUUCGACGAGGGAUCGCCUCUUGCCCUUUUCGACGGUUCUUGCUCCUUGGGGACGACAAGCAGCGGUUACACGAGGGAGGAGGGGGGCGGAGGGGAUGGUAAGGGAGACAAGGACACGCGAGCGUGGUGAACGUCGAAGGUGGAAUGUCGAGGAACAGCCACCCUGUAAACGUUCGAUUAAUUUUUCGUGUCGGUGACAUCGGUCGUUCGAUCGUCCCUGUUUUUCAAUCCAACCCAGCCUCAAUGAAGAUCGACGAAACACGGAUCUUGCUUAUGGUGCUCGUGCAGGAAUCGUGUUAACUGGGGAUCGAUGGUUUCAUAGGUAACAACUAGAAGAUCUAUUUCAUUGCUCGUUAUUUGCUGAGAAGAUCGACGCCAAUUUGACGAAACUGAUGAUAGAGCAUUUGUUAAAUACGAAUUCUAAUUAUUAAGUAUAUAAAUUAUACUUUAAAUAAUUUUUAGUGUCAUUAUGUUUUAAAUAUCUAUUACUAACUCACUUUACUAUCAGAAUUUGUUCAUUUUUUUCUAAAAAGAAGAAAAAAAAAUAAAAUUUAUAAUGAAAUUCAUUCAACAGUUA
Molecule: long non-coding RNA, 3528 nt
Filed under: Apis mellifera (honey bee)
Lineage: Eukaryota; Metazoa; Arthropoda; Insecta; Hymenoptera; Apidae
Description: uncharacterized LOC107964728
Source: RNAcentral